This 264-nucleotide ribosomal RNA is filed under the name uncultured archaeon. Its description in RNAcentral is "partial 16S ribosomal RNA". It matches the Rfam family "Archaeal small subunit ribosomal RNA", at positions 718 to 982 of the family's 1478-position model. The record is from RNAcentral.
AGUCACUGACAUUAGAUACCCCCGUAGUCCAGGGUGUAAACGCUGCAGACUUGGUGUUGGGAACCCUUCGGGGGUGCUCAGUGCCGGAGAGAAGUUGUUAAGUCUGCUACUUGGGAGUACGUCCGCAAGGAUGAAACUUAAAGGAAUUGGCGGGGGAGCACCGCAACGGGAGGAGCGUGCGGUUUAAUUGGAUUCAACACCGUAAAACUCACCAGGGAAGACUGUUACAUGAAGGCCGAGAUGAAGACUCUGCUAGAUUUUCAG